UCUUCUGGCUGUCCGAGUUGUAAUCUGGAGAAGCGUUUUCUGUGUUAGACCGUGUACAAGUCUCCUGGAACGGAGCCUCAUAGAGGGUGAGAAUCCCGUCCAUGACACGGACUACUAAUACUUUGUGAUACGCUCUCAAAGAGUCGAGUUGUUUGGGAAUGCAGCUCAAAAUGGGUGGUAAAUUCCAUCUAAAGCUAAAUACUGGCGAGAGACCGAUAGCGAACAAGUACCGUGAGGGAAAGAUGAAAAGCACUUUGGAAAGAGAGUUAAACAGUACGUGAAAUUGUUGAAAGGGAAACGCUUGAAGUCAGUCGCGUUGUGCAGAACUCAGCCUUGCCUCGGCUUGGUGUACUUUCUGCACGCAACGGGUCAACAUCAAUUUUGGUCCAUGGAGAAAGGUAGGGGGAAUGUAGCGCUGCUUCGGCAGCGUGUUAUAGCCCUCUAUUGUAUGCAUGGGCUGGGAUUGAGGAACGCAGCACGCCCUUGUGGCCGGGGGUUCGCCCCACGUACCGUGCUUAGGAUGUUGGCAGAAUGGCUUUAAGCGACCCGUCUUGAAACACGGACCAAGGAGUCUAACAUGCUUGCAAGUGUUCGGGUGGAAAACCCUUGUGCGUAAUGAAAGUGAAAGUUGGGAACCUCCGCAAGGGGGGGUGCACCGACGCCCGGCCCUGACGUUCUCUGACGGUGCUGCGGUAGAGCAAGUAUGCUAGGACCCGAAAGAUGGUGAACUAUGCCUGAAUAGGGCGAAGCCAGAGGAAACUCUGGUGGAGGCUCGUAGCGAUUCUGACGUGCAAAUCGAUCGUCAAA
Molecule: ribosomal RNA, 807 nt
Filed under: Fomitiporia murrilli
Lineage: Eukaryota; Fungi; Basidiomycota; Agaricomycetes; Hymenochaetales; Hymenochaetaceae
Description: partial 28S ribosomal RNA
Rfam family: Eukaryotic large subunit ribosomal RNA
Source: RNAcentral